ACGGAUUAAGAUUUUCACAUCUAUCAGAGGAUUAUUUACUCAUGUUCAUCCUGAUGUUUCAAAGAGUUUUGGAGGAUUCAGAGAUCCUGUCAGAACAACAACCAGAAAACCAGAAAAACAUCACAGCGGAGCCUGACAGAACGUCACUCUGACAUGUAAAGCUCCAAACAACAACAACAUCAUAGUUGCAGAGUGGAGCAGAGCUGACCUGGAGCCAGAGUAUGUGUUUGUGUUCCGGAAUGGGAAGUUUGAUCCAGAAAACCAGCAUCCAACUUUUGUGAACCGGGCGGAGCUGCAGGAUUCACAGAUGAAGGAUGGAGACGUGUCUGUGAUUCUGCAGAAGGUGACGACUGAUGACACUGGAACAUACGAGUGUCACGUCCAAAGAGAGGGAGAUAGUAUGAAGCUUAUGAACACCAUCAGAGUGACAGUUGCUGCUCCUCCUCCAGGUCAAUCAGGAGGAGACACAGAGGAUGGAGGGAGGAAGGGUGGAGUCAGCAGUGCAGUCAGCAGAGGACGUCCUGGACUGCUGGCAGUUCUUGGUGCUGGAGCUGUUGUUGUUGUUGUUGGUUUGUUGUAAUCUAUAGAAAACAAAGAACCACGUCAGAAGUCACAGCAAUGUCCUGUUGAACCGAUGCAAACUAAACUGAGACCUCCUACCAGCUGCUCUGUGAUUCUCCUGCUGCUGCUCUUAUUUCUUGAUGAGUGCAGAACAACAAAUGCUCUGAAGACAGAGAGCAGUUAAUAUCCAGCUGCAUCUCUCAUUAAAGUCAUUCUCAAUUUGGUCUUCUGGUUUUUGUGAAGGAAACGUGGUUAUUCUGAAAGAACCAGAAGCCUUAAACUCAAGUGUGUGAUGUUGUGAUUGUGUAAACAUGCUGAGAGGAUUG
This is a long non-coding RNA of Archocentrus centrarchus (flier cichlid), 887 nucleotides long. RefSeq lists it as uncharacterized. Lineage: Eukaryota; Metazoa; Chordata; Actinopteri; Cichliformes; Cichlidae. The transcript has 3 exons. The record is from RefSeq and is a predicted model, not a curated record.